CUGGGUUUAGAACGUCGUGAGACAGUUCGGUCCCUAUCCGCUGCGCGCGCAGGAAUAUUGAGAAGGGCUGUCCCUAGUACGAGAGGACCGGGACGGACGAACCUCUGGUGUGCCAGUUGUUCUGCCAAGGGCAUGGCUGGUUGGCUACGUUCGGGAGGGAUAACCGCUGAAAGCAUCUAAGCGGGAAGCCUGCUUCGAGAUGAGUAUUCCCACCCCCUUUGAGGGGUUAAGGCUCCCAGUAGACGACUGGGUUGAUAGGCCGGAUGUGGAAGCCCAGUAAUGGGUGAAGCUGACUGGUACUAAUAGGCCGAGGGCUUGUCCUC
RNAcentral lists this ribosomal RNA (323 nucleotides) under Streptomyces sp. yr375. RNAcentral describes it as "Bacterial large subunit ribosomal RNA". It matches the Rfam family "Bacterial large subunit ribosomal RNA", at positions 2605 to 2925 of the family's 2925-position model. The record is from Rfam by way of RNAcentral. Lineage: Bacteria; Bacillati; Actinomycetota; Actinomycetes; Kitasatosporales; Streptomycetaceae.